Molecule: long non-coding RNA, 418 nt
Organism: Neltuma alba
Lineage: Eukaryota; Viridiplantae; Streptophyta; Magnoliopsida; Fabales; Fabaceae
Exons: 2
Source: RefSeq, a predicted model, not a curated record
UUGCAAAAUGAGUUCGGCUACAAAAAAGAACAGUAUUGGAGACAGUCUUGGUUACGGUACUACUUAUUAUAGCUCGCAGAAUUCUUCAGAUGGCUCAAGUUCAAAGGGAACUAAGGUUAUCGGAGACAGCCUUGGUUAUGGUUCUACAUAUAAUUCACAGAGUUCUUCAAAGAAUUCAACUUCAAAGGGACCAAAUAAGGUCAUCGGAGACAGUCUUGGUUAUGGUUCUUAAAAUGAUGAUUACUGUUUCAUGUAGAAAGGGACCUAUGCGGGAACUGGAAGAAAAGAUUACUGUGUGGAAAAUUCCAUCAUGUCUUAAAUUAUUUUUGUAAAAUUUAUUCAUGUCUUAUUUUUGUAUGAAACAAGAAUGUAUCUAGUAAUCUCCAGAUCUAUUUGCAGCAUGGCAGUUUGAGAAUCU